This 210-nucleotide unclassified non-coding RNA is filed under the name Hevea brasiliensis (rubber tree). The record is from RNAcentral. Lineage: Eukaryota; Viridiplantae; Streptophyta; Magnoliopsida; Malpighiales; Euphorbiaceae.
GGAGCUUCAGUUUUUGCUUCUCACAUGUAGUGACAGUACGAUCAAGGAUCACCCCUAAACAAUUUAGUUUAGUGCACCUAUAAGCAUUGAUGACAAGGUCAGAAACAUUCAACUCUGAGCAGCCAGUACAUUGACAUGUAAAUGAGUAGCGGUCUUCUAAGAGUCGUUGACGGUCUUUGCAGUCCCACUGCCCUACCUGGGGGCCAUAAG